Molecule: ribosomal RNA, 452 nt
Filed under: uncultured Thiobacillus sp.
Lineage: Bacteria; Pseudomonadati; Pseudomonadota; Betaproteobacteria; Nitrosomonadales; Thiobacillaceae
Description: bacterial SSU rRNA
Rfam family: Bacterial small subunit ribosomal RNA
Source: RNAcentral
ACAAGCGUGGAUGAUGUGGAUUAAUUCGAUGCAACGCGAAGAACCUUACCUACCCUUGACAUGUCCGGAACUUGCCAGAGAUGGCUUGGUGCCCGAAAGGGAAUCGGAACACAGGUGCUGCAUGGCUGUCGUCAGCUCGUGUCGUGAGAUGUUGGGUUAAGUCCCGCAACGAGCGCAACCCUUAUCAUUAGUUGCUACGCAAGGGCACUCUAAUGAGACUGCCGGUGACAAACCGGAGGAAGGUGGGGAUGACGUCAAGUCCUCAUGGCCCUUAUGGGUAGGGCUUCACACGUCAUACAAUGGUCGGUACAGAGGGUUGCCAAGCCGCGAGGCGGAGCCAAUCCCACAAAGCCGAUCGUAGUCCGGAUUGUUCUCUGCAACUCGAGAGCAUGAAGUCGGAAUCGCUAGUAAUCGCAGGUCAGCAUACUGCGGUGAAUACGUUCCCGGGUCUU